GCUAAGGUGGCAGAGCCCGGCAAUUGCACAAGAUUUAAGCCCUUGGUCCCAGAGGUUCAAUUCCUCUUCUUAGCA
RNAcentral lists this transfer RNA (75 nucleotides) under Stylodipus telum (thick-tailed three-toed jerboa). RNAcentral's name for it is "tRNA-Leu". It matches the Rfam family "tRNA". Rfam says of the family: Transfer RNA (tRNA) molecules are approximately 80 nucleotides in length. Their secondary structure includes four short double-helical elements and three loops (D, anti-codon, and T loops). Further hydrogen bonds mediate the characteristic L-shaped molecular structure. tRNAs have two regions of fundamental functional importance: the anti-codon, which is responsible for specific mRNA codon recognition, and the 3' end, to which the tRNAs corresponding amino acid is attached (by aminoacyl-tRNA synthetases). tRNAs cope with the degeneracy of the genetic code in two manners: having more than one tRNA (with a specific anti-codon) for a particular amino acid; and 'wobble' base-pairing, i.e. permitting non-standard base-pairing at the 3rd anti-codon position. Lineage: Eukaryota; Metazoa; Chordata; Mammalia; Rodentia; Dipodidae. The record is from RNAcentral.